UUUUUUUUUUUUUUUUGUUUUUUUUUUUAUUUGGUGAAAACAGUCGCGGGGAUAUCGUUUCUUUUCUUUUUAUUUGUUUUUAGGCAGCAAACCCCGUAAAAACUGACAUAUUUGUCAUUCACAUGGUCGGUAAAUUCAUUUCCUUGACAAUUAAGUACACAUCUGGUUAUUUCGGUAUGUUCCGUAAUUCAGUACGAUGAUUCACGAGGUUCCAAAAAUUUGAUCGGAACCCAUGCAUCCA
Molecule: long non-coding RNA, 241 nt
Filed under: Mytilus galloprovincialis (Mediterranean mussel)
Lineage: Eukaryota; Metazoa; Mollusca; Bivalvia; Mytilida; Mytilidae
Source: RNAcentral